This 1528-nucleotide ribosomal RNA is filed under the name Klebsiella pneumoniae. Its description in RNAcentral is "bacterial SSU rRNA". It matches the Rfam family "Bacterial small subunit ribosomal RNA". Lineage: Bacteria; Pseudomonadati; Pseudomonadota; Gammaproteobacteria; Enterobacterales; Enterobacteriaceae. The record is from RNAcentral.
AGAGUUUGAUCAUGGCUCAGAUUGAACGCUGGCGGCAGGCCUAACACAUGCAAGUCGAGCGGUAGCACAGAGAGCUUGCUCUCGGGUGACGAGCGGCGGACGGGUGAGUAAUGUCUGGGAAACUGCCUGAUGGAGGGGGAUAACUACUGGAAACGGUAGCUAAUACCGCAUAAUGUCGCAAGACCAAAGUGGGGGACCUUCGGGCCUCAUGCCAUCAGAUGUGCCCAGAUGGGAUUAGCUUGUAGGUGGGGUAACGGCUCACCUAGGCGACGAUCCCUAGCUGGUCUGAGAGGAUGACCAGCCACACUGGAACUGAGACACGGUCCAGACUCCUACGGGAGGCAGCAGUGGGGAAUAUUGCACAAUGGGCGCAAGCCUGAUGCAGCCAUGCCGCGUGUGUGAAGAAGGCCUUCGGGUUGUAAAGCACUUUCAGCGGGGAGGAAGGCGUUGAGGUUAAUAACCUUGUCGAUUGACGUUACCCGCAGAAGAAGCACCGGCUAACUCCGUGCCAGCAGCCGCGGUAAUACGGAGGGUGCAAGCGUUAAUCGGAAUUACUGGGCGUAAAGCGCACGCAGGCGGUCUGUCAAGUCGGAUGUGAAAUCCCCGGGCUUAACCUGGGAACUGCAUUCGAAACUGGCAGGCUAGAGUCUUGUAGAGGGGGGUAGAAUUCCAGGUGUAGCGGUGAAAUGCGUAGAGAUCUGGAGGAAUACCGGUGGCGAAGGCGGCCCCCUGGACAAAGACUGACGCUCAGGUGCGAAAGCGUGGGGAGCAAACAGGAUUAGAUACCCUGGUAGUCCACGCCGUAAACGAUGUCGAUUUGGAGGUUGUGCCCUUGAGGCGUGGCUUCCGGAGCUAACGCGUUAAAUCGACCGCCUGGGGAGUACGGCCGCAAGGUUAAAACUCAAAUGAAUUGACGGGGGCCCGCACAAGCGGUGGAGCAUGUGGUUUAAUUCGAUGCAACGCGAAGAACCUUACCUGGUCUUGACAUCCACAGAACUUAGCAGAGAUGCUUUGGUGCCUUCGGGAACUGUGAGACAGGUGCUGCAUGGCUGUCGUCAGCUCGUGUUGUGAAAUGUUGGGUUAAGUCCCGCAACGAGCGCAACCCUUAUCCUUUGUUGCCAGCGGUCCGGCCGGGAACUCAAAGGAGACUGCCAGUGAUAAACUGGAGGAAGGUGGGGAUGACGUCAAGUCAUCAUGGCCCUUACGACCAGGGCUACACACGUGCUACAAUGGCAUAUACAAAGAGAAGCGACCUCGCGAGAGCAAGCGGACCUCAUAAAGUAUGUCGUAGUCCGGAUUGGAGUCUGCAACUCGACUCCAUGAAGUCGGAAUCGCUAGUAAUCGUAGAUCAGAAUGCUACGGUGAAUACGUUCCCGGGCCUUGUACACACCGCCCGUCACACCAUGGGAGUGGGUUGCAAAAGAAGUAGGUAGCUUAACCUUCGGGAGGGCGCUUACCACUUUGUGAUUCAUGACUGGGGUGAAGUCGUAACAAGGUAACCGUAGGGGAACCUGCGGUUGGAUCACCU